AAGUCGUAACAAGGUAACCGUAGGUGAACCUGCGGUUGGAUCAUUAUAAAAUGUGUGUUUUCCCUUGUGCAAUCUCAUCAUUUAAGUGCUUUUGGGUACUUUCGUGAUUAUAUAUAAGAAUAUUAUUAUAUCAUUAACUUACAAACAA
This 148-nucleotide unclassified non-coding RNA is filed under the name plant metagenome. RNAcentral describes it as "partial contains small subunit ribosomal RNA and internal transcribed spacer 1". The stretch from base 1 to 46 matches the Rfam family "Eukaryotic small subunit ribosomal RNA", at positions 1786 to 1831 of the family's 1831-position model. The record is from RNAcentral.